Long non-coding RNA from Rhipicephalus microplus (southern cattle tick), 445 nucleotides. RefSeq lists it as uncharacterized. The record is from RefSeq and is a predicted model, not a curated record. Lineage: Eukaryota; Metazoa; Arthropoda; Arachnida; Ixodida; Ixodidae.
GGCUAUUGAGAACAUGUGAUGACACUGUGUGCCUUUGCCCGAGUGUUUCGACGCUAUGCUGGAGGACAUCAUUGCAAUUUUCCUAUGGAAAAAGAAGCAAACUCCAAGCCUACAACACUGGCCUAAUGGGACUGUCAUCCUGGAGUGCCACACUGGCUAAACAUCAACUAGAUCAGAUGUUUUUCUUCCUUGAAACUGGCAUGGGACGAUGACGGACAAGUACAUGUGCUUCUGGUCUUGGGGAAGACCUGAUGCCUGUAUCAACUGCUUCCCAGCACUUGAUGGUAGUCAUGGAGUGCAUGACAUAUAUUUUCCAAGCAUUUUCUCUACAGUUUGCAGGGUCAGCCCAGGCACAUGAGAAAGCUACACGGCGACCAUGAUUCUUGAGUAGCAGCAAUCAGCCAGCUUUAGUGUCAGCAGCUGUUCUUCCUGGCUGCCAGGGCAC